AUUGAACGCUGGCGGCAGGCCUAACACAUGCAAGUCGAACGGUAACAGGAAGAAGCUUGCUUCUUUGCUGACGAGUGGCGGACGGGUGAGUAAUGUCUGGGAAACUGCCUGAUGGAGGGGGAUAACUACUGGAAACGGUAGCUAAUACCGCAUAACGUCGCAAGACCAAAGAGGGGGACCUUCGGGCCUCUUGCCAUCGGAUGUGCCCAGAUGGGAUUAGCUAGUAGGUGGGGUAACGGCUCACCUAGGCGACGAUCCCUAGCUGGUCUGAGAGGAUGACCAGCCACACUGGAACUGAGACACGGUCCAGACUCCUACGGGAGGCAGCAGUGGGGAAUAUUGCACAAUGGGCGCAAGCCUGAUGCAGCCAUGCCGCGUGUAUGAAGAAGGCCUUCGGGUUGUAAAGUACUUUCAGCGGGGAGGAAGGGAGUAAAGUUAAUACCUUUGCUCAUUGACGUUACCCGCAGAAGAAGCACCGGCUAACUCCGUGCCAGCAGCCGCGGUAAUACGGAGGGUGCAAGCGUUAAUCGGAAUUACUGGGCGUAAAGCGCACGCAGGCGGUUUGUUAAGUCAGAUGUGAAAUCCCCGGGCUCAACCUGGGAACUGCAUCUGAUACUGGCAAGCUUGAGUCUCGUAGAGGGGGGUAGAAUUCCAGGUGUAGCGGUGAAAUGCGUAGAGAUCUGGAGGAAUACCGGUGGCGAAG
RNAcentral lists this ribosomal RNA (703 nucleotides) under uncultured Escherichia sp. RNAcentral's name for it is "bacterial SSU rRNA". It matches the Rfam family "Bacterial small subunit ribosomal RNA", at positions 28 to 720 of the family's 1533-position model. Lineage: Bacteria; Pseudomonadati; Pseudomonadota; Gammaproteobacteria; Enterobacterales; Enterobacteriaceae. The record is from RNAcentral.